Molecule: non-coding RNA, 107 nt
Organism: Helianthus annuus (common sunflower)
Lineage: Eukaryota; Viridiplantae; Streptophyta; Magnoliopsida; Asterales; Asteraceae
Source: Rfam
AAGCCAUGAUGUGGCACAUCAAUCAACAAAUCCUUGAAUCUCUCCCAAGCUGCAUGCAACGACUCGCCCUCGUCCUGGUGAAAGGAAACAAUCCGGUUUCGUAGCUU